CGGGUGGUAAUGCCGGAUGCUCCAGUUGAUCGCAUGGUCUUCUGGGAAAGCCUUUGCGGCAUGGGAUGGGGUCGCGUCCUAUCAGCUUGAUGGCGGGGUAACGGCCCACCAUGGCUUCGACGGGUAGCCGGCCUGAGAGGGCGACCGGCCACAUUGGGACUGAGAUACGGCCCAGACUCCUACGGGAGGCAGCAGUGGGGAAUAUUGCACAAUGGGCGCAAGCCUGAUGCAGCGACGCCGCGUGAGGGAUGGAGGCCUUCGGGUUGUAAACCUCUUUUGUUAGGGAGCAAGGCAUUUUGUGUUGAGUGUACCUUUCGAAUAAGCACCGGCUAACUACGUGCCAGCAGCCGCGGUAAUACGUAGGGUGCAAGCGUUAUCCGGAAUUAUUGGGCGUAAAGGGCUCGUAGGCGGUUCGUCGCGUCCGGUGUGAAAGUCCAUCGCUUAACGGUGGAUYCGCGCCGGGUACGGGCGGGCUUGAGUGCGGUAGGGGAGACUGGAAUUCCCGGUGUAACGGUGGAAUGUGUAGAUAUCGGG
This 534-nucleotide ribosomal RNA is filed under the name Bifidobacterium breve. RNAcentral describes it as "bacterial SSU rRNA". Lineage: Bacteria; Bacillati; Actinomycetota; Actinomycetes; Bifidobacteriales; Bifidobacteriaceae. The record is from RNAcentral.